CAGGGGCGGACGCAUGUUGUGGCGAGUGGGGGCCCAGGACCCCGCUCGAUUCAUCGUCCUCUUCGUACUACGUCCCGAUGCUAGCGAGCAGGCCCCCGGUCGGGCUAUAGCAGGCUGAAGGCGUGCGUCUACCCUGCUGCCGCCUGCCGCUUCGACUCUGGGAGCUCACAAUUAAUAGCGAGAAAAACGAAGAGGCGAGCCCUCGGCCGCCGCUUGGUUGGACCAUUGGUGGAUCGCGGCUUGGCGGGUGCCAGUCCUGUGCCAUCCGGUCGCCGGCCACCGGCGGCGCCACCGUCGACGGGUGUACAGCAGCAACGGAUGAACAGAGCAUCCUCAGCAACUCAUCUCUAAUCAGGGAAGAAAAGGGAAGAUAAUGGAGAAGUAUUUGAUAAAGAAAUCAGCAAAUGCCAACACCACCACCCAGCCCCGGGGGGCUAUCACCAGCAACAAUUCAAGUGGCAGUAGUAAUGCAUCAAGACCUGCAGCAAAACAUAAUUCUGUUGUGCCUGAACUAGUUGAUUUGAAUAAGCUCCCUCGGGAUCCAGCUAAAAGGAAGCGAAUGGCAGAUUACCACCCAACCAACGUGACGAGAUAAGAAGG
This is a non-coding RNA of Aegilops tauschii subsp. strangulata, 600 nucleotides long. NCBI's taxonomy places the organism in Eukaryota, Viridiplantae, Streptophyta, Magnoliopsida, Poales, Poaceae. The record is from RefSeq and is a predicted model, not a curated record.